CUACACAUGCAAGUCGAGCGGUAGCACAGAGAGCUUGCUCUCGGGUGACGAGCGGCGGACGGGUGAGUAAUGUCUGGGAAACUGCCUGAUGGAGGGGGAUAACUACUGGAAACGGUAGCUAAUACCGCAUAACGUCGCAAGACCAAAGUGGGGGACCUUCGGGCCUCAUGCCAUCAGAUGUGCCCAGAUGGGAUUAGCUAGUAGGUGGGGUAACGGCUCACCUAGGCGACGAUCCCUAGCUGGUCUGAGAGGAUGACCAGCCACACUGGAACUGAGACACGGUCCAGACUCCUACGGGAGGCAGCAGUGGGGAAUAUUGCACAAUGGGCGCAAGCCUGAUGCAGCCAUGCCGCGUGUGUGAAGAAGGCCUUCGGGUUGUAAAGCACUUUCAGCGGGGAGGAAGGCGAUAAGGUUAAUAACCUUGUCGAUUGACGUUACCCGCAGAAGAAGCACCGGCUAACUCCGUGCCAGCAGCCGCGGUAAUACGGAGGGUGCAAGCGUUAAUCGGAAUUACUGGGCGUAAAGCGCACGCAGGCGGUCUGUCAAGUCGGAUGUGAAAUCCCCGGGCUCAACCUGGGAACUGCAUUCGAAACUGGCAGGCUAGAGUCUUGUAGAGGGGGGUAGAAUUCCAGGUGUAGCGGUGAAAUGCGUAGAGAUCUGGAGGAAUACCGGUGGCGAAGGCGGCCCCCUGGACAAAGACUGACGCUCAGGUGCGAAAGCGUGGGGAGCAAACAGGAUUAGAUACCCUGGUAGUCCACGCCGUAAACGAUGUCGAUUUGGAGGUUGUGCCCUUGAGGCGUGGCUUCCGGAGCUAACGCGUUAAAUCGACCGCCUGGGGAGUACGGCCGCAAGGUUAAAACUCAAAUGAAUUGACGGGGGCCCGCACAAGCGGUGGAGCAUGUGGUUUAAUUCGAUGCAACGCGAAGAACCUUACCUGGUCUUGACAUCCACAGAACUUAGCAGAGAUGCUUUGGUGCCUUCGGGAACUGUGAGACAGGUGCUGCAUGGCUGUCGUCAGCUCGUGUUGUGAAAUGUUGGGUUAAGUCCCGCAACGAGCGCAACCCUUAUCCUUUGUUGCCAGCGGUUCGGCCGGGAACUCAAAGGAGACUGCCAGUGAUAAACUGGAGGAAGGUGGGGAUGACGUCAAGUCAUCAUGGCCCUUACGACCAGGGCUACACACGUGCUACAAUGGCAUAUACAAAGAGAAGCGACCUCGCGAGAGCAAGCGGACCUCAUAAAGUAUGUCGUAGUCCGGAUUGGAGUCUGCAACUCGACUCCAUGAAGUCGGAAUCGCUAGUAAUCGUAGAUCAGAAUGCUACGGUGAAUACGUUCCCGGGCCUUGUACACACCGCCCGUCACACCAUGGGAGUGGGUUGCAAAAGAAGUAGGUAGCUUAACCUUCGGGAGGGCGCUUACCAC
RNAcentral lists this ribosomal RNA (1419 nucleotides) under uncultured bacterium. Its description in RNAcentral is "bacterial SSU rRNA". It matches the Rfam family "Bacterial small subunit ribosomal RNA". The record is from RNAcentral.